RNAcentral lists this ribosomal RNA (207 nucleotides) under uncultured delta proteobacterium. RNAcentral describes it as "partial 16S ribosomal RNA". It matches the Rfam family "Bacterial small subunit ribosomal RNA", at positions 568 to 774 of the family's 1533-position model. The record is from RNAcentral. Lineage: Bacteria; Deltaproteobacteria.
CACGUAGGCCGUUUGGUAAGUCAGAGGUGAAAGCCCGUAGCUCAACUACGGAAUUGCCUUUGAUACUGCUGGACUUGAGUUCGGGAGAGGGUAGUGGAAUUCCAGGUGUAGGAGUGAAAUCCGUAGAUAUCUGGAGGAACAUCAGUGGCGAAGGCGACUACCUGGACCGAUACUGACGCUGAGGUGCGAAAGCGUGGGGAGCAAACA